Molecule: ribosomal RNA, 713 nt
Filed under: Philoliche aethiopica
Lineage: Eukaryota; Metazoa; Arthropoda; Insecta; Diptera; Tabanidae
Description: eukaryotic LSU rRNA
Rfam family: Eukaryotic large subunit ribosomal RNA
Source: RNAcentral
AUGCCUCGUCAUCUAAUUAGUGACGCGCAUGAAUGGAUUAACGAGAUUCCUUCUGUCCCUAUCUACUUCUAGCGAAACCACAGCCAAGGGAACGGGCUUGGAAUAAUUAGCGGGGAAAGAAGACCCUGUUGAGCUUGACUCUAGUCUGGCAGUGUAAGGAGACAUAAGAGGUGUAGCAUAAGUGGGAGAUAUAUUAGUUUCUACUAUAUAUAUCAACAAUGAAAUACCACUACUCUUAUUGUUUCCUUACUUACUUGAUAAAAUGGAACGUGUAUCAUUCACUUAGCCAUUACACGAAUAUAUUUAUAUGUAUAUUUUAUGGUAUUUUGUUUUGAUGCGAGCUUCUUGUUUAAAGUACCAAGAGUUUGUUAUAUACACCAAACAAAUAUCAUUUAAAUUUGCUUAUCAUUAAUAAUGGUUUGUUAAAUAUUAAUUGAAUUUGGUAUAACUCUUAUACUCAGGUAUGAUCCAAUUCAAGGACAUUGCCAGGUGGGGAGUUUGACUGGGGCGGUACAUCUCUCAAAUAAUAACGGAGGUGUCCCAAGGCCAGCUCAGUGCGGACAGAAACCACACAUAGAGCAAAAGGGCAAAUGCUGACUUGAUCUCGGUGUUCAGUACAUACAGAGACAGCAAAAGCUCGGCCUAUCGAUCCUUUUGGUUUAAAGAGUUUUUAACAAGAGGUGUCAGAAAAGUUACCACAGGGAUAACUGGCU